AGAGUUUGAUCAUGGCUCAGAUUGAACGCUGGCGGCAGGCCUAACACAUGCAAGUCGAGCGGUAGCACAGAGAGCUUGCUCUCGGGUGACGAGCGGCGGACGGGUGAGUAAUGUCUGGGAAACUGCCUGAUGGAGGGGGAUAACUACUGGAAACGGUAGCUAAUACCGCAUAACGUCGCAAGACCAAAGUGGGGGACCUUCGGGCCUCAUGCCAUCAGAUGUGCCCAGAUGGGAUUAGCUAGUAGGUGGGGUAAUGGCUCACCUAGGCGACGAUCCCUAGCUGGUCUGAGAGGAUGACCAGCCACACUGGAACUGAGACACGGUCCAGACUCCUACGGGAGGCAGCAGUGGGGAAUAUUGCACAAUGGGCGCAAGCCUGAUGCAGCCAUGCCGCGUGUAUGAAGAAGGCCUUCGGGUUGUAAAGUACUUUCAGCGAGGAGGAAGGCGUUAAGGUUAAUAACCUUGGCGAUUGACGUUACUCGCAGAAGAAGCACCGGCUAACUCCGUGCCAGCAGCCGCGGUAAUACGGAGGGUGCAAGCGUUAAUCGGAAUUACUGGGCGUAAAGCGCACGCAGGCGGUCUGUCAAGUCGGAUGUGAAAUCCCCGGGCUCAACCUGGGAACUGCAUUCGAAACUGGCAGGCUAGAGUCUUGUAGAGGGGGUAGAAUUCCAGGUGUAGCGGUGAAAUGCGUAGAGAUCUGGAGGAAUACCGGUGGCGAAGGCGGCCCCCUGGACAAAGACUGACGCUCAGGUGCGAAAGCGUGGGGAGCAAACAGGAUUAGAUACCCUGGUAGUCCACGCCGUAAACGAUGUCGACUUGGAGGUUGUGCCCUUGAGGCGUGGCUUCCGGAGCUAACGCGUUAAGUCGACCGCCUGGGGAGUACGGCCGCAAGGUUAAAACUCAAAUGAAUUGACGGGGGCCCGCACAAGCGGUGGAGCAUGUGGUUUAAUUCGAUGCAACGCGAAGAACCUUACCUACUCUUGACAUCCAGAGAACUUAGCAGAGAUGCUUUGGUGCCUUCGGGAACUCUGAGACAGGUGCUGCAUGGCUGUCGUCAGCUCGUGUUGUGAAAUGUUGGGUUAAGUCCCGCAACGAGCGCAACCCUUAUCCUUUGUUGCCAGCGGUUAGGCCGGGAACUCAAAGGAGACUGCCAGUGAUAAACUGGAGGAAGGUGGGGAUGACGUCAAGUCAUCAUGGCCCUUACGAGUAGGGCUACACACGUGCUACAAUGGCAUAUACAAAGAGAAGCGACCUCGCGAGAGCAAGCGGACCUCAUAAAGUAUGUCGUAGUCCGGAUUGGAGUCUGCAACUCGACUCCAUGAAGUCGGAAUCGCUAGUAAUCGUAGAUCAGAAUGCUACGGUGAAUACGUUCCCGGGCCUUGUACACACCGCCCGUCACACCAUGGGAGUGGGUUGCAAAAGAAGUAGGUAGCUUAACCUUCGGGAGGGCGCUUACCACUUUGUGAUUCAUGACUGGGGUGAAGUCGUAACAAGGUAACCGUAGGGGAACCUGCGGUUG
RNAcentral lists this ribosomal RNA (1519 nucleotides) under Klebsiella aerogenes. Its description in RNAcentral is "bacterial SSU rRNA". It matches the Rfam family "Bacterial small subunit ribosomal RNA". RNAcentral also lists the same sequence under 1 other name. Lineage: Bacteria; Pseudomonadati; Pseudomonadota; Gammaproteobacteria; Enterobacterales; Enterobacteriaceae. The record is from RNAcentral.